CCUACGGGAGGCAGCAGUAGGGAAUCUUCCACAAUGGACGAAAGUCUGAUGGAGCAACGCCGCGUGAACGAUGAAGGCUUUCGGGUCGUAAAGUUCUGUUGUAAGGGAAGAACAAGUGCCGCAGGCAAUGGCGGCACCUUGACGGUACCUUGCGAGAAAGCCACAGCUAACUACGUGCCAGCAGCCGCGGUAAUACGUAGGUGGCAAGCGUUGUCCGGAAUUAUUGGGCGUAAAGCGCGCGCAGGCGGCCUCUUAAGUCUGAUGUGAAAGCCCCCGGCUCAACCGGGGAGGGCCAUUGGAAACUGGGAGGCUUGAGUAUAGGAGAGAAGAGUGGAAUUCCACGUGUAGCGGUGAAAUGCGUAGAGAUGUGGAGGAACACCAGUGGCGAAGGCGACUCUUUGGCCUAUAACUGACGCUGAGGCGCGAAAGCGUGGGGAGCAAACAGGAUUAGAUACCCUGGUAGUCCACGCCGUAAACGAUGAGUGCUAGGUGUUGGAGGGUUUCCGCCCUUCAUUGCUGAAGCUAACGCAUUAAGCACUCCGCCUGGGGAGUACGGUCGCAAGACUGAAACUCAAAGGAAUUGACGG
This 587-nucleotide ribosomal RNA is filed under the name uncultured bacterium. RNAcentral describes it as "bacterial SSU rRNA". It matches the Rfam family "Bacterial small subunit ribosomal RNA", at positions 338 to 916 of the family's 1533-position model. The record is from RNAcentral.